RNAcentral lists this ribosomal RNA (301 nucleotides) under uncultured bacterium. RNAcentral describes it as "partial 16S ribosomal RNA". It matches the Rfam family "Bacterial small subunit ribosomal RNA", at positions 509 to 807 of the family's 1533-position model. The record is from RNAcentral.
CAGUCGCCGCGGUAAUACAGAGGGUGCAAGCGUUAAUCGGAAUUACUGGGCGUAAAGCGCGCGUAGGUGGUUUGUUAAGUUGGAUGUGAAAUCCCCGGGCUCAACCUGGGAACUGCAUCCAAAACUGGCAGGCUAGAGUACGGUAGAGGGUAGUGGAAUUUCCUGUGUAGCGGUGAAAUGCGUAGAUAUAGGAAGGAACACCAGUGGCGAAGGCGACUACCUGGACUGAUACUGGCACUGAGGUGCGAAAGCGUGGGGAGCAGACAGGAUUAGAUACCCCCGUAGUCCCUGUCUCUUAUAC